Prunus dulcis (almond) is the source of this 639-nucleotide long non-coding RNA. RefSeq lists it as uncharacterized. The transcript is spliced from 2 exons. The record is from RefSeq and is a predicted model, not a curated record. Lineage: Eukaryota; Viridiplantae; Streptophyta; Magnoliopsida; Rosales; Rosaceae.
UUCAGCCUCGUCCACUCCCUCGAGUCUCUCACUCGCUAAAUCUCUGUGUUUUCUCUUCAGCACGCACACUCUGCCUUGUUUCUUUAUCUUUCAUUUUCAUGGUUUGGUGACAUGUUUUUGUUGUUGUUAACUUGGAUUUUUAGGAAUGAUAGAUGAACGAAAGCGAGGUGACGAAAGAAAUUCAUGUAUGUCAGUACGCUGAUAACAGUGUGAUGUUACUGUGAAUCCCGACAGGUGUUUGCCGUCAAGUUUGCUGGUUACAACAAGUCUAAUGUACUCCUCAUUGCUUAUAGCCUUGUAGUUUGCUGCCUUCUCCUUGACAAGAUCUGGCAGAGGACCAAUCAUGGUCAUCAUAUUUGGGCUGUGAAAUCCUGCAAUUGAAAGCCGUUCCCUUUCCGUGUUCACCACAGCCCUGUGCUCAAUGCUCUUAUAUUCUCCAUUACUCAAUAUCUGCAACAAUAUAGUGAUUAGAUGGAAAGCGUCAAGUACUGUUGGAGAGACUACAUUUGUUAGACCGUAUUAUGUUCCAAAUGGAGUAUGCAUUAUCAUAUUGAUUGUUCAUAGGCGCAUGACUUCUAUACAAUGUGGUCAAAAAUGUGGUUUAUCAAUCUUAUAUGCUAUUGAGUAUUCAUUGUGGUA